UGGGGAAUCUUCCGCAAUGGACGAAAGUCUGACGGAGCAACGCCGCGUGAGUGAAGAAGGUUUUCGGAUCGUAAAACCCUGUCUUUUGGGGCGAACGUGAGUAUGGUGAACAAUCAUAGUCAGUGACGGUACCAAAGGAGGAAGCCACGGCUAACUACGUGCCAGCAGCCGCGGUAAUACGUAGGUGGCAAGCGUUGUCCGGAAUUAUUGGGCGUAAAGAGCGCGUAGGCGGGAUAGUCAGUCUGUUGUAAAAGUGCGGGGCUCAACCCCGUGAUCGCAAUGGAAACAGCUAUUCUUGAGUGCAGGAGAGGAAAGUGGAAUUCCCAGUGUAGCGGUGAAAUGCGUAGAUAUUGGGAGGAACACCAGUGGCGAAGGCGACUUUCUGGACUGUGUCUGACGCUGAGGCGCGAAAGCCAGGGGAGCGAACGGGAUUAGAUACCCCCGGUAGUCCUGGCCGUAAAACGAUGGGUACUAGGUGUGGGAGGUAUCGACCCCCUUCCGUGCCGGAGUUAACGCAAUAAGUACCCCCGCCUGGGGAGUACGGUCGCAAGACUGAAACUUAAAUGAAUUGACGGGGGUCAUAGCUGUUUCCUG
This 594-nucleotide ribosomal RNA is filed under the name uncultured bacterium. RNAcentral describes it as "partial 16S ribosomal RNA". It matches the Rfam family "Bacterial small subunit ribosomal RNA", at positions 355 to 941 of the family's 1533-position model. The record is from RNAcentral.